This 63-nucleotide transfer RNA is filed under the name Corydalus cornutus (eastern dobsonfly). RNAcentral describes it as "tRNA-Phe". The record is from RNAcentral. Lineage: Eukaryota; Metazoa; Arthropoda; Insecta; Megaloptera; Corydalidae.
AUUUAAAUAGCUUAAUAAGAGCAUAACAUUGAAGCUGUUAGGGUGAUUUUUGAAUCUUUAAAU